RNAcentral lists this transfer RNA (69 nucleotides) under Solemya velum gill symbiont. Its description in RNAcentral is "tRNA-Thr". It matches the Rfam family "tRNA". From Rfam's summary of the family: Transfer RNA (tRNA) molecules are approximately 80 nucleotides in length. Their secondary structure includes four short double-helical elements and three loops (D, anti-codon, and T loops). The record is from RNAcentral. Lineage: Bacteria; Pseudomonadati; Pseudomonadota; Gammaproteobacteria.
CUUAUAGCUCAGUGGUAGAGCACUGGUCUCGUAAACCAGGGGUCGUGAGUUCAAACCUCACUGAGGGCA